Molecule: ribosomal RNA, 253 nt
Filed under: uncultured bacterium
Lineage: Bacteria
Description: partial 16S ribosomal RNA
Rfam family: Bacterial small subunit ribosomal RNA
Source: RNAcentral
UACGUAGGGGGCAAGCGUUGUCCGGAAUCAUUGGGCGUAAAGAGCGUGUAGGCGGUCCGGUCAGUCGGUUGUGAAAGUCAAGGGCUCAACCCUUGAAUGCCGGCCGAUACUGCCGGGCUAGAGUCCGGAAGAGGUGAGUGGAAUUCCUGGUGUAGCGGUGGAAUGCGCAGAUAUCAGGAGGAACACCAAUAGCGAAGGCAGCUCGCUGGGACGGUACUGACGCUAAGGCGCGAAAGCGUGGGGAGCGAACAGG